This 968-nucleotide ribosomal RNA is filed under the name Beauveria diapheromeriphila. RNAcentral describes it as "SSU rRNA". It matches the Rfam family "Eukaryotic small subunit ribosomal RNA", at positions 103 to 1082 of the family's 1831-position model. Lineage: Eukaryota; Fungi; Ascomycota; Sordariomycetes; Hypocreales; Cordycipitaceae. The record is from RNAcentral.
AUAUAAGUUAUCGUUUAUUUGAUAGUGCCUAACCACUUGGAUAACCGUGGUAAUUCUAGAGCUAAUACAUGCUGAAAACCCCGACUUUAGAAGGGAUGUAUUUAUUAGAUUCAAAACCAAUGCCCUCUGGGCUCUUUGGUGAUUCAGAGUAACUUUUCGAAUCGCACGGCCUUGCGCUGGCGAUGGUUCAUUCAAAUUUCUUCCCUAUCAACUUUCGAUGUUUCGGUAUUGGCCAAACAUGGUUGCAACGGGUAACGGAGGGUUAGGGCUCGACCCCGGAGAAGGAGCCUGACAAACGGCUACUACAUCCAAGGAAGGCAGCAGGCGCGCAAAUUACCCAAUCCCGAUUCGGGGAGGUAGUGACAAUAAAUACUGAUACAGGGCUCUUUUGGGCCUUGUAAUUGGAAUGAGUACAAUUUAAAUCCCUUAACAAGGAACAAUUGGAGGGCAAGUCUGGUGCCAGCAGCCGCGGUAAUUCCAGCUCCAAUAGCGUAUAUUAAAGUUGUUGUGGUUAAAAAGCUCGUAGUUGAACCUCGGGCCUGGCUGGCUGGUCCGCCUCACCGCGUGUACUGGCCUGGCCGGGCCUUUCCUUCUGUGGAACUCCAUGCCCUUCACUGGGUGUGGCGGGGAAACAGGACUUUUACUUUGAAAAAAUUAGAGUGCUCCAGGCAGGCCUAUGCUCGAAUACAUUAGCAUGGAAUAAUAAAAUAGGACGUGUGGUUCUAUUUUGUUGGUUUCUAGGACCGCCGUAAUGGUUAAUAGGGACAGUCGGGGGCAUCAGUAUUCAAUUGUUAGAGGUGAAAUUCUUGGAUCAAUUGAAGACUAACUACUGCGAAAGCAUUUGCCAAGGAUGUUUUCAUUAAUCAGGAACGAAAGUUAGGGGAUCGAAGACGAUCAGAUACCGUCGUAGUCCUAACCAUAAACUAUGCCGACUAGGGAUUAGACGAUGUUAUUUUUUGACACGUUUA